This 386-nucleotide ribosomal RNA is filed under the name Crematogaster rogenhoferi. Its description in RNAcentral is "partial 12S ribosomal RNA". The record is from RNAcentral. Lineage: Eukaryota; Metazoa; Arthropoda; Insecta; Hymenoptera; Formicidae.
UAAACUAGGAUUAGAUACCCUAUUAUUCUAAUUAAAAUAAUAUAUAUUAGAAAUUAAAUGUAUAAUCAUUAAAUUUAAAUAAUUUGGCGGUAUUUUAAUUAGUCAGAGGAAUUUGUCGAGUAAGUGAUAGUCCACGUUAGGUUGAUCCUAGUGAAGUUUUUAUGUAUUGUUGUUUGAAUAUUAAUUUAGGAGAAUUUAAUAGAAAUUUAGUAUUGUAGAAGAAUUCAAAUCAAAGUGUAGAAUUAUUAGGGUUAGAUGAAUUACAAUUUAAUUUAUUAUCGGAGUUAAAUUUUUAAAUAAAUUAAUGAAGAAGGAUUUGAAGGUAAAUUUAUAUGAAUUAUGUAAGUUGAAAUGAUCUUUAAAAUAUGUACAAAUUGCCGGUCAUU